AAAAAAAAAAAAAAAAAAGGCUCCAAGAUAAACAAGUUUAAAGAUUUAACAAAUAAGAAAUAUAGAAUUAUGUACCAUAUUUGAUACAGGGUUUAUUUGGGAUAUUAUAUAGGUUCUAGUCCUUUCAGACUUCAGAGUUAUUUAUUCAAAUAAUUGUUGUUGGUUUUUUUUCCUGUGUUGAAGGAUGUUUCUAGGUAGGGGUGUGCAAACGGUCGGUU
RNAcentral lists this unclassified non-coding RNA (218 nucleotides) under Hevea brasiliensis (rubber tree). Lineage: Eukaryota; Viridiplantae; Streptophyta; Magnoliopsida; Malpighiales; Euphorbiaceae. The record is from RNAcentral.